RNAcentral lists this transfer RNA (64 nucleotides) under Cacatua moluccensis (salmon-crested cockatoo). RNAcentral's name for it is "tRNA-Phe". It matches the Rfam family "tRNA". From Rfam's summary of the family: Transfer RNA (tRNA) molecules are approximately 80 nucleotides in length. Their secondary structure includes four short double-helical elements and three loops (D, anti-codon, and T loops). Lineage: Eukaryota; Metazoa; Chordata; Aves; Psittaciformes; Cacatuidae. The record is from RNAcentral.
GUCCUCGUAGCUUAAACUAAAGCAUAGCACUGAAGAUGCUAAGACGGGAGCCACCCCCAAGGAC